This 307-nucleotide long non-coding RNA is filed under the name Fukomys damarensis (Damara mole-rat). Its description in RNAcentral is "lncRNA (ENSFDAG00000022285.1)". Lineage: Eukaryota; Metazoa; Chordata; Mammalia; Rodentia; Bathyergidae. The record is from RNAcentral.
AUAGAAUCAACACGUUUAACUUUCACGGCUGGUUUGACUUUGGAGAAGAGCCAGGAAUUGCAUAAUGCCAGAUGUGGUAACUGAGGACAUUUUAUCUGCUUUUUCAUCUUAUUAUCACAUCAAUCAGAAGCCUGUACCAUAGCUGAAAAAUAUAUCAGAAGACACAGACCAUAAAAGAUGAAUUUGUAGCAAAGCACACUGCAAUGAGGGAGACAAAACUAAAGAGCUAUUCCAGCCUGUGACAUCUGUAGCUUCAGAAAAUAGUAAGCACAGUAGAAUUAUUAUUCAGAUAAAAAUAAUACCUGGC